Molecule: ribosomal RNA, 502 nt
Filed under: uncultured bacterium
Lineage: Bacteria
Description: partial 16S ribosomal RNA
Rfam family: Bacterial small subunit ribosomal RNA
Source: RNAcentral
ACUCAAAGGAAUAGACGGGGGCCCGCACAAGCGGUGGAGCAUGUGGUUUAAUACGUCACAAACCGUAGAACCUUACCAGGGCUUGACAUCUAGCGCACCGGUAUGAAAGUAUCGUUCCGAGCAAUCGGACGCUAAGACAGGUGUUGCAUGGCUGUCGUCAGCUCGUGUCGUGAGAUGUUGGGUUAAGUCCCGCAACGAGCGCAACCCUCAUCCCAUGUUGCCAGCGGGUAAAGCCGGGAACUCUUGGGAAACUGCCGGGGUAACUCGGAGGAAGGUGAGGAUGACGUCAAGUCAGCAUGGCCCUUACGUCCUGGGCUACACACAUGCUACAAUGGACGGUAGACAGAGGGAUCCGAUGCCGCGAGGUGGAGGCAAUCCCACAAAUCCGUUCUCAGUUCGGAUUGCAGGCUGCAACUCGCCUGCAUGAAGUCGGAAUCGCUAGUAACCGCAGGUCAGCGAAACUGCGGUGAAUACGUUCCCGGGCCUUGUACACACCGCCCGU